AGAGUUGAUCUGGCUCAGAACGAACGCUGGCGGCGCGUCUUAAGCAUGCAAGUCGAACGGCAAGAGGUAGCAAUACCUCCUAGAGUGGCGGACUGGUGAGUAACACGUGGGUGACAUACCCUUCAGAUGGGGAUAGCUAUUAGAAAUAGUAGAUAAUACCGAAUACGAGCACAGGGGUUAGAGAUCUGUGAGGAAAGGAGCUAAGGCUCCGCUGAAGGAAUGGCCUGCGGCCCAUUAGCUAGUUGGUGAGGUAAGAGCCCACCAAGGCGAUGAUGGGUAUCCCGGCCUUAGAGGGUGAACGGACACAUUGGGACUGAGAUACGGCCCAGACUCCUACGGGAGGCAGCAGCUAAGAAUAUUCCGCAAUGGACGAAAGUCUGACGGAGCGACGCCGCGUGGAUGAAGAAGACCGGAAGGUUAGUAAAAUCCUUUUGAAACUGAAGAAUAAGCGUUGUAGGGAAUGACAGCGUGGUGACAGUUAGGUUUUGAAUAAGCAACGGCUAAUUACGUGCCAGCCGCCGC
Molecule: ribosomal RNA, 522 nt
Filed under: uncultured bacterium
Lineage: Bacteria
Description: bacterial SSU rRNA
Rfam family: Bacterial small subunit ribosomal RNA
Source: RNAcentral